UACCAGCACCCCGAGUGGUCGGGACGAUUAUUGGGCCUAAAGCAUCCGUAGCCGGUUUUACAAGUCCCCCGUUAAAUCCAGCUGCUCAACAGAUGGGCUGCGGAGGAUACUAUAAGACUAGGAGGCAGGAGAGGCAAGCGGUACUCAGUGGGUAGGGGUAAAAUCCGUUGAUCCAUUGAAGACCACCAGUGGCGAAGGCGGCUUGCCAGAAUGCGCUCGACGGUGAGGGAUGAAAGCUGGGGGAGCAAACCGG
RNAcentral lists this ribosomal RNA (253 nucleotides) under uncultured bacterium. RNAcentral's name for it is "partial 16S ribosomal RNA". It matches the Rfam family "Archaeal small subunit ribosomal RNA", at positions 474 to 727 of the family's 1478-position model. The record is from RNAcentral.